Long non-coding RNA from Odontomachus brunneus, 4696 nucleotides. RefSeq lists it as uncharacterized. Lineage: Eukaryota; Metazoa; Arthropoda; Insecta; Hymenoptera; Formicidae. The record is from RefSeq and is a predicted model, not a curated record. The transcript is spliced from 8 exons.
UCGAAACGGUAAUGUGUACUAGAAAUUCAAACAUAGUUGUGAAGUGACACGUUAUUGAAAUCGUCAUUAUCAUUAAAAAUUACUUUUUUGUAGUAACGACUUGUUAAUUAUUGAAAUUAUCUCUCUUUUUUUCGUUAGUAACGGUAAAGCAAUUACGUUUCUUUAGGUAAUAAUAACAAAUAUAAUUCUCACUUGUAUUGUUAUUUUCCUCACAUAAACAAUAUACAUAAAUAGUAUAUGUAAAAUACACGUACCUGUAGUGGAAAAUAAGAAAUGAUAGAAGACGACUCUUAAACUUGGUUAUAAAGUAACAAAUUGUAACAACCCGUUAUCUCUCGAAUAACAAUAAUACGAACAAUUUAUUUUUGAGAACAAAUAAAGGGUAGUAUGAAAACUAGUAAAGUUGUGACAAUGACGGCAUACCUCCAUGCUUGGUUGAUGAUCGUUCUGAUAAUCAUAAAUAUAAUUACGCUGGGAACAGCUUGUGGGUACAAUUGCAGAAGACCACCAACGUUCAAUGCCAACAAUCUUCCUACAUAUAACACUUAUCGUUGGUAUCGUUGGUAUCCCGCUUCACAACGGACGUAUUUACCAACGCGGAGACCUCAAUUCGAGACCAGGUACCAGAUAUCAGUUGUAAGAAAUAAGAUGCAAUGUCCACUUGGACAACGGAUAGAUCCAAACGGAAUGUGUCGCUAUCGGGCAUAACGUUAAAAUCAGAAUAUGUGAACUGCAUGAAAGCAGGUUCAAAAAUAUCAAUAACUUUCAUGAUACUAUCACUCUUUUUCAAAUGAACUACUACAGAGGUAAUGAGAUAAUUUAAGAAAUACAGGAUAAUAUAUAGUAACUAUUACAGAUGUAUGAAUAAAUAUAAAUAAGCAUGAUUAAUGUUGAUUUUUGUGUUAUUUUGUGUAAAUUUUCUGUAUUAUCUCAGAAUAACUAAACCAAGAUUUUAACACAGUGCAAUCAAGGCACUCUCAAUAGUUUCUUAAUAAUUAUGUCAGUAACAUUCAUUGUGCUCAGUACCAAUAGAAAUAUUCCCAAGCGUUUACUAUCAGAUGUAUCAAUUACGUCAAGUUUUAUUAAAAAGAGUAUUAAUAAUAUUAUUAUUAGCCAUUUAAUAUAAUUUAUAUUAUAUUAUAUUAUAUUAUAUUAUAUUAUAUUAUAUUAUAUUAUAUUAUGUUAUAUUAUAUUAUAUCAUAUGAUAUCACAAGUAAAGAAAAAUAUUGGCGCGCGUAAAUUUUCAAAUGGCAUAAUGAAAUCAUUCCAUUGUGUUUUCUUAAUAAUUGCGCUAAUAGUAAUGAAUAUAUGUUCACACUGGCAACAUCUAAACGCAUCCAAAUAGAGAUAACUACAUCAUUUGCAUCUAACUCCAAUGAAACAUAUUCACUAAAUGCAAAUGCUGGUAUAAAUCGUAUUCAGCAUCUAGUGAAUGUUUCAUUGAAGUCAGAUAUAAAUAAUAUAAUUAUCACUAUUUGGAUGUGUUCAGAUGCUGCCAGUGUGAACAUAUUCAUUACUAUUUGUGCAUUAGAUAGUAUUCAUGUCAUAAACAUACUUUUUAAGCAAGAUAUUGAUUGCUUAAGCAUGAUAUUGAGAAAACAACGAAAAGAUCAAGGUUAUAUAUACUAAAAAGAUAAUAUAUACUAAAAAAAUUCAAACAAAAUCGAAAAGUGAGGCAUAAUAACGUUGUUAUCGCAUUAUGCGUUGCUCUUUUUUUAUAACGACUUAAGAAAUAUUUUUUUCCUCUUGAAUUUCUAUGGAUAACAAGAAUGAAUGUAAUUAUUACUUUUGUUAUUACAAUGCGUAUGUAAAAUAUAUGUGCAUAGGUUAAGCCGUAAUAAAUCAUGAAAACAGUGUCAAAACGUUAUCUCUUAUACGUAGAGCCAUAUUCAUCGUCGAAUCUUUUUUUGAAGUUUAUAUUAAUUUUGGACACUUAUACGACGCCGUCUAAAUUCAUAAUUUAAUGUUAAACAAAAUUGCACAUACGAGUCCAUAAAAGUGCGCUUCGAAUAUAUUGUUCCUAUUGAAAGAAAUAACAGAAAUAUUACACAGCUGAACAGAAACAGCUGUCUCGAGAAUAAACAUUGUCUUAAGUAUUCGCGUAAGUCUUCGCGAGGGCAAUAUCAAAUUAAAUAAGAAUUACUUGAGAGAAAGUCUCUUCGCGAAGGUCGUGUUACAUUAUAAUUACUAAUUCUACCGAUCUUAAUAAAGUCUGAAUUGGAUAAAACAGUCUUUCAUCUAACUAGUCUUAACAAUUUUACUGAUAUAAAUGACGGUAAUUCUCAUCAUGGGUAAGAAAGGACUCAAGUGUCGUCUUGAGACUUGACUAUAAACAGAAUCUGUAAUAAUUUAUUGCUUGUUUAAAGAUCAAUAUAUCAUAUAGGAAACCGGUUUACUUGUAUAACAAUAAUGAAGUUUAUAUAAUGCAGGAGAACCAAUGGGGGAUUGGAAAAUACUAUAAGUAGCAGACGUUCUAUGAAGAAUGUGCAAUGUGUAUUUCUUCGUCGAGACGGGAAUGUGUGCUAGAAAUUCAAAUAUAGUUGUGAAGUGACACAUUAUUAAAAUCGUCAUUAUCAUUAAAAAUUACUUUUUUUACUAACUUUGUUAAUGAAAUUAUCUCUCUUCUUUUUUGUUAGUAACUAUAAUGGUAACGCAACUACGUUUUGUUAGAUAAUAAUAAACAAAUAUAAUUCUCAACUUGUAUUGUUACUUUGCCCACAUAAAUAAUACACGUAAAUAAUACACGUAAAAUACACGUAUUGGAAAGCAAGAAAUGAUAAAAGACGACUCUUAAACUCGGUUAAACAGUAACAAAAAUUGUAACAACCCGUUACCCCUCGAAUAACGAUACUACGAUAAUACGAACAAUUUAUUUUGGAGAACAAAUAAAGGGUAGUGUGAAAACUAAUAAAGUUGUGACAUAGCACAAUGACGGUAUAUCUCCAUGCUUGGUUAAUGAUCGUUCUGAUAAUCAUCAAUAUAAUUACGCUGGGGACAGCUUGUGGGUACAAUUGCAGAAGACCACCAACGUUCAAUGCCAAUAAUCUUCCUACAUAUAACACUUAUCAUCGGUAUCGUUGGUAUCCCGCUUCGCAACGCACGUAUUUACCAAUGCAGAAUACAAAUGUAGGAUAUUAUCCAAGUAUCACCGUUGUAAGAAAUAAGAUGCAAUGUCCAUUUGGACAACGGAUAGAUGCACGCGGAAUGUGUCGCUAUAAGGCAUACCGUUAAAAUCAUAGAAUAUAUCAACUGCAUGUAAGCAGGUCCGAAAAUAUCAGUAAUUUUUAUGAUAUCAUUAUUCUCUCUCACAUAAACUAACACAGAGAUAAUGAGAUAAUUCAAGAGAUGUGCGAUAAUGCGCAGUCACCCUCCACAGAUGUAUGAAUAAAUAUAAAUAUGCAUGAUUAAUGUCGAUUUUUCUGUUAUUUUGCCUGAAUCCUCUGUAUUACUUCAGGAUAAUAAAACAAAAUUUUCACACAACACAAUGAAGACAUUCUCAAUAUACAAUUAAUCAACAAUAAUUAAGAUAAUAAUUCUUAUUAUCGGUAGUGAAGAACUCAAGUGUUGUUUUGAGAUAUGCAUAUAAACACAAUUCUUAGUAAUUCAUUACUUGUUCGAAGAUGAAUAUAUUACAGAGGAAACCAGGAUACUCUCGUAUGACAAUAACGAGUUUAUGUAAUGCGAAGAAACCAAUCGGGGGAUUGAAAAAUAUUAUAAAUAGCAGACGCUUUAUGGAAUGGAGAUAUUGUGUACGUUAUAGUUCAGCCAAUAGAAGCGGUUUAAACAUUUUUUUUUAUCGCCAUAUAGUAUAGCGCACCGCACUGUAAUAGUUACCUUUCUCUUCUGUUCUAUAUUUCGUGCUAGUCAGUCUUGUAAGAAUAUUUGACGCGGCAGCAAUAAAGGUCAGUUUUAAGGAAAUAUUGUCGUAGUUAUUUCCGCGCAGUGAGCAUUGGAAAGAAAUAGCGUCCACAUAUGCACACGGCACAAGUCGUAGCAUCAAGGAUCUUAAUAGCUCAAAGCUCAAAGAUUCUUCCCAGAUCCUAAACAGAAGUAACUGUAACGGUAACACAUUUACGUUUCUUCAGGGUAGUGUGAAAAUAAGUAAAGUUGUGACACAGCAUAAUGGCGGCAUUCCUUCAUGCUUUCUUAAUGAUUGUUCUGAUAAUUAUCAAUGUAACUACGCUGGGGAUAGCUUCGAAGGACAACAUUGGAGGACCAACGUUCAGCAUCACCAAACUUCUUACAUUUAAGAGCUUACAUUUUCGGUAUCCUUCUCCGCAACGCAUAUCUACACCACGUACACCAUAUAUGUCACCAACUUACCUACCUCCUAGUCCAGCUGCAACUACUAUUCCACCUGUAACUGAAUGUGGAUGUGGAUGUGCAUAUGGAUGUGGAGCUGGAGGUGCAGAUCCUAACAUUGCCGUGGUAAAAAGUAAGACAUUUUAUAAGAAAUGUCCAAACAUUGGACAAAGGGAAGAUCCACACGGAAUAUGUCGCGAUGUACAAAGACGUUAAAAUCACAGAAUAUAUGAUCUUCAUGUAAACAGGUCCAAAAGUAUCAGCAACUUUUAUGAUGUUAUCAUUCUCUUUUAAAUGAACUAGCAUAGAAAUAAUGAAAUAAGAGAUAAUUCAAGAGAUUUAUGAUAAUAUAUAGCAAACCCACAGAUGUAUAAAUAAAUAUAAAUAUAAUUAA